CACGUAGGCGGACCUACAAGUCGGGGGUGAAAUCCCGGGGCUCAACCCCGGAACGGCCUCCGAAACUGUGGGUCUGGAGGAUGAGAGAGGCGAGUGGAAUUCCGAGUGUAGAGGUGAAAUCCGUAGAUAUUCGGAGGAACACCAGUGGCGAAGGCGGCUCGCUGGCUCAUUUCUGACGCUGAGGUGCGAAAGCGUGGGGAGGCAAAACA
RNAcentral lists this ribosomal RNA (209 nucleotides) under uncultured bacterium. RNAcentral describes it as "partial 16S ribosomal RNA". It matches the Rfam family "Bacterial small subunit ribosomal RNA", at positions 568 to 776 of the family's 1533-position model. The record is from RNAcentral.